Long non-coding RNA from Mus musculus (house mouse), 684 nucleotides. RefSeq annotates it as predicted gene, 36065. The transcript has 3 exons. NCBI's taxonomy places the organism in Eukaryota, Metazoa, Chordata, Mammalia, Rodentia, Muridae. The record is from RefSeq and is a predicted model, not a curated record.
CAGGCAUUCUUAGGAGGGAUGGUUACUGAGCGGCAUGGCAGCGCCUGCCGCAAGAGUGGACUGCAGUCUAGGGAAGGGGCCAGCUGAAAAGAUGUAACUAACAGGCAGGCAGUUAAAUAGCGUGGAUCUGAAUGAGACCAGCGUGGUCGUUGGCGGCGUGGUGGAAUUAGCCUCGAGAGCUCUGUUAGAGCCUAGCAUGGCCAUCUUCUGAAAGGCCCAACAAGCAGCCGACUGAGGCAGACACAGAUACACCCUACCAAUGGACUGAAGUCUGGGAUCCCUGUGGUUGAAUUAGGGAAAGGCUGGAAGAAGCUGAGGAGGAGCGUGAGCCCAGGAGGGAGACCAGUAGUCUCAACUAACCUGGACCCCUGAGAUCUACAGCAGAAGACUGCCUGUUCUGGCCUCAGUGAGAGAAGAAGCAUCUAACCCUUGAGAGCAAGAGACUUGAGGCCCCCAGGGAAUGGGGAGACCAGAAACUCAUCCAUGUGACCCGGAAAGUGCCUUAAACUCAGACCAUUGCCGACUGCAUGUGUAUGUUUCCUGCUCAGAGCUAUGCAAAACUACAAGGCCUUCCACAACAUAAAGUCUUAAGCACUGAGAGUCCUCACCAGCCCUUUAUCUUUCUCCUUUGUGAAGUGUUCCUCUUCUGUUGCAUUGUGGAUGAACGGGGGCCAGGAAAUAGAG